ACUUUUAUGGAUACUUUGCAAGGGAAUAGAGAGAAAUGAAUGAUACAUAAUGCAGACAUGAAUGAUGUAUGCUGCAAACAGCUAAAAAUCUACAAAUCAAAAGAAAGUAACUUAUCUUACAUUGAGGAUGUACAGACCUACUCUCUGUGUAUGAAAGUACUGGAACCCAACAGCUUCAGAAGUAUGCAAAAGAAAGAAAAAAAUCUAUCACAAUGACUUUAGAACUGUUGCACAUUUUCUGAGGCACACUAUCGAGGGAAGUACAUAAUGCAGCUUUGCUGUAUAUCACUGCCAUCUAGUGGACUUAUCUGUGGGAGUGUGACUCCAAUAUCCGUUUAAAGGUAACAGUAUUGCUCCGGUUUUACUCUAAUUUUGGUUAGAAAUUAUUUCAGUUCACAGCUCUUAUUGUGUGGUAUAG
Molecule: long non-coding RNA, 418 nt
Filed under: Phasianus colchicus (ring-necked pheasant)
Lineage: Eukaryota; Metazoa; Chordata; Aves; Galliformes; Phasianidae
Description: lncRNA (ENSPCLG00000010656.1)
Source: RNAcentral